AGCGAACGCUGGCGGCAGGCCUAACACAUGCAAGUCGAACGAACCUUUCGGGGUUAGUGGCGGACGGGUGAGUAACACGUGGGAACGUGCCUUUAGGUUCGGAAUAACUCAGGGAAACUUGUGCUAAUACCGAAUGUGCCCUUCGGGGGAAAGAUUAAUCGCCUUUAGAGCGGCCCGCGUCUGAUUAGCUAGUUGGUUGAGGUAAUGGCUCACCAAGGCGACGAUCAGUAGCUGGUCUGAGAGGAUGAUCAGCCACAUUGGGACUGAGACACGGCCCAAACUCCUACGGGAGGCAGCAGUGGGGAAUCUUGCGCAAUGGGCGAAAGCCUGACGCAGCCAUGCCGCGUGAAUGAUGAAGGUCUUAGGAUUGUAAAAUUCUUUCACCGGGAACGAUAAUGACGGUACCCGGAGAAGAAGCCCCGGCUAACUUCGUG
RNAcentral lists this ribosomal RNA (434 nucleotides) under uncultured bacterium. Its description in RNAcentral is "partial 16S ribosomal RNA". It matches the Rfam family "Bacterial small subunit ribosomal RNA", at positions 29 to 507 of the family's 1533-position model. The record is from RNAcentral.